CAUGGGUCACGCGUGGUCAGAUGUUUGUUCUGGGAAGUUGGGUCUUCAGAGUAUGAGACUGUCACCUCUCCCCCUUUUCCAUGUUCUGGAGGCUUCUAACCCGCAAGACUUAAGGAGGCCCCAGCGCCCUGGAGGGCUGCUUCUCCCACCCCAGGCAUGUGCCUUCCUGGACUCAACCUGGUUGUAGGUGUGCAGUCCUCUCUCCUCUUUUGAAAGCCUGACUUUGCUCACACGGGUGGGUCUCGCGACAACCUUCUCUGUGAGACACUCUGCAGGUAACCCAGGUCUGUCUCCGUGGGGGGCUGUGGGCUGCUGCAGCAGAAAGACCAAUGUCCAGACUCUAAAGCACGGACGUUGGUGCUCAUUCACUGAGCAGGUUGGCAGGUGGCUGCCUCCAUUGGGAGGCCCCUCCUGGGGGUGCGUUCUCUGUGUCCUUCGCCCCUUCUGUCCCUGGAUCCAGUUGCAGGUUGGUAAGAAGCGUGGGGAAGGUACAGCCACUUCCCAAAUCCUGGACCAGGUGCUGGCCGGCCUCGCUGGCCCACGUCUCUGGGGAACUCAUCCCAGACUUGGCCAUCUCCCCAGAUGUCUGGCCAUUUCCAAGCUGGUUGUGCGUCAGAAUCACCAAGGUUCUCUGGAGACACGGACGCCUGGCCCCAGGCCCCACAGUGCUGCUUCACAGGCCCCAGGUAGGACCUGGGCGCCUGCAGGUAAAAAGGCCCGCAGGUCCAGCGGUCCCAGCCCCUACGCUUGGCCCCGGUUCUGCCCCAGGUCCAAGGAGAGGCAUCCACGGCCCAUGUGGAGACAGCGCCGUGGGUUCACUCCCCGCCUGGCUCCCGCAGGAUCUACGAGGGCCCCAGGGCAGAGUGGAGAGGACAUACCUGGCUUGGGAGACAGGAGCUGGGAGAUGUGAUGUCCCCGUCGGGAGGCACAAGCUGCUAAUUGCUUUGUUUUGCGUUACCAACAUCUGCGGGGAGACAGCAGAUGCCGCCACUUGCCCAGCCUGCUGUCCCCAGAGGUGACCACUCUGUGGCGUCCAGGGCUCUUGGCACAGAACCUGUCAGACCACAGCCAAGCACCCUGUCCGGCUGCCCCCAUGUCCUUGCUGCUAAGACAGUCGCGCCCACACGCUGCCCUGAGAAUGGGCACUGUGGUGACUGCCACUCCUUCCUGCAGCAGCACCAGGAGCAUACUUCUCUCUCCUUCUCGAAGAUUCCAGGCGGAACCUCUCAGCUCGGCGCCACAAAGUGAACGGCUCCACCAAGGUUUCUCUCUCUAAUUUUAAGGGCACCUUUCCCCCCAGGCUGCAGCUCUGGGCUCUCAGAGG
Molecule: long non-coding RNA, 1324 nt
Filed under: Bos grunniens (domestic yak)
Lineage: Eukaryota; Metazoa; Chordata; Mammalia; Artiodactyla; Bovidae
Description: lncRNA (ENSBGRG00000007970.1)
Source: RNAcentral